Molecule: ribosomal RNA, 497 nt
Filed under: uncultured bacterium
Lineage: Bacteria
Description: partial 16S ribosomal RNA
Rfam family: Bacterial small subunit ribosomal RNA
Source: RNAcentral
GAUGAACGCUGGCGGCGUGCCUAAUACAUGCAAGUCGAGCGAACAGAUGAGGAGCUUGCUCCUCUGACGUUAGCGGCGGACGGGUGAGUAACACGUGGAUAACCUACCUAUAAGACUGGGAUAACUUCGGGAAACCGGAGCUAAUACCGGAUAAUAUAUUGAACCGCAUGGUUCAAUAGUGAAAGACGGUUUUGCUGUCACUUAUAGAUGGAUCCGCGCCGCAUUAGCUAGUUGGUAAGGUAACGGCUUACCAAGGCAACGAUGCGUAGCCGACCUGAGAGGGUGAUCUGCCACACUGGAACGGAGACACGGUCCAGACUCCUACGGGAGGCAGCAGUAGCGAAUCUUCCGCAAUGGGCGAAAGCCUGACGGAGCAACGCCGCGUGAGUGAUGAAGGUCUUCGGAUCGUAAAACUCUGUUAUUAGGGAAGAACAAUUGUGUAAGUAACUAUGCACGUCUUGACGGUACCUAAUCAGAAAGCCACGGCUAACUACGUG